CAGUAGUGUACACGAAAAAGCAGUAGCAAUAGAAGGCGGUACAGUUUUUUGGUUGUCUUCAUCAAUGUCCCUUUCCAUUCAUAGCAGCAAAGGGCAUCAAAAGUAUUUGUGGAUCCGUCCUUUUGGCCUUGAGAUGGAGCCAUGUUUCUCUACAAGGAUAUUCAAAUCAAUCCUAGCCAUCUGUCUCCCUUUCCUCUUCCGGAAUAGGUUGAAAUUUCAAAAAAAAGUGUUUCCCUUUAAUGGUGAAAGAUUCUUCGAAUUCAAAUUUGAAAAUGGAUGGUUCAUGCCCUAAUUUUUGUUUGAUUUGCCCCCUAAAUGAACCCUAUUCUUUAUCUAUUUAAGGGGGUUUUGUCUUUAUUUUUUGAGUUUGGAGUUAGCCUAGAGAGAGAGUUGGAAAAUAUAAGGGAAAAACAGGAAAAAAGUUGGAAAAAUAAAUAUAGGAAAAAGAUAGAAGAAGCACUCUUAUAUAGGAAACAAGCACACCGUGAGUCGAAAAGAAUCAUACCUAGUAUACAUUCUUUUCUAUUCGUGGGAUAGCCAAGGUUUACUCACCAAAGUGAACUUUACAGAAGAUUUGAGGAACACUCGAUUUUAUAUUUGCUUCGAAUUUGUGUGGUGGAAUAGCUCAUCCCUUCUUGUUGUUGUUCCUGUUCCUAUUCACUGGCCCAAAAAAGGUUCAAGUCCUCAACAUUCAGAUCACUCAUAGAUCGAUUCCUGAUCGCUAGUGAAGCUAUUUCAGUGGUGAGUCCUCAUAUUUUGAGGCUAAUAAACAUGCUUUCUUUUACUUUAAGUCUUUUACUUUAUGCUUUGCUAGAGUUAGCUGGGGGAAUGUCGCAACUUUAGUUAAUUAGAGGCUUUCAUUCAUACAUACUAAGAUUUAGUUUUAAAACCGAUUUUAAUCUUUCAGUUGUUAAUUGAACUCUUAGUUCAAUUUAUAUCUUUAGACUUAUAUUGAUUAUCCCCUUCAUUUCAGUUUACAUUAUGAUUUAAAGCUUCCACAGAUUAUUUCUCAUUUCGGUAAAUCUUUGCGUAUGCUUGUGAUAUAUCAGUUGAGGGUUAGCUCGGGGUCACUCAUGAUCCUAGGUCUAUUGUUAUGUCAAGUGGGUAGUCUCGAGGCAUGACAACUUUGGAGAUGAUAAGGUAGUUAUGUUUAAUUACAAACUCUCCAACGCGAUUUUGAAAUAUUGUUCAUUAAUGAAAUGAAUUCGUACAAGGAUAUUUGCUUCGUACAUCUUUAUCUUUAAUAUAAUGAGAUCCUAUGGUGAGAAAAUUGAUAAUCAGAGUGUUGUGUCGAAAGUUUUGAGAACUUUAACUACCAAACUUGAGCACGUUUUUACUGCAAUUGAGGAAUCUAAGGACCUAUCUAAUUAUUCUUUUAGUGAAAUAAUGAGUUCCUUACUAGUUCAUGAAGAUAGGAUAAAUAGGUCCAGUAAGAAAGUCCAGGAUAAGUCCUUCCAGUAUAAGGGGGAGUUUUCCUACAAGGUAAAAGCAAAACACUCUGUAUGACGAAAAUCUGGUAGAGGCAAUUUCUGUGGUCAGGGUUGUACUGGCAGCGACGGAGGAAGAAACUCAAUUGUUGAACUAUGUCAAUACAAGAACAAUAUUCAAUGCCGAUAUUGCAAGAAAUUUUUCCAUGAAGAAGUUUAUUGCAGGAUGAAGUAGUAAGAUGAGCAAAAGGAAGCGAAUUUUACUCAAAAGGUGGAAGAAGAAAAUAAGUUGUUUAUGGCUAGUUAACAAAUAACUUAAGUGUGAAUGUUCAGUGGUUCAUUGAUAGCAGAUACUCAAAUCAAUGUCAUGUUCGAAAUCUCUCUUUAGAGAUCCUGAUGAGUCCCAGAAAAGUGUGGUGUGACUUGAAGAUGACAAACAAGUGCACAUUGAAGGGAAACGUACAAAUGAGAUAAAGAUAUACAAGAUUAUUGCAAAGCUCCACAAAGCAACAUUUUGAUGUUGUGAAACGAAUUCUUUAUUAGGUGUCUGAAACAACAGACUUUGGUAUUUGUUAUUCUAAAGAACCAAAUUUCAGAUUGGUUGGCUUUACUGAGAUGAUUAUGCAGACUGCUAGGAUGACAAAAAAAGCACUUUCGGUUGUUGUUUCAAAUUUUGUUCCGGAUCUGUGACAUGGAGUUCAAUGAAGUAGGACACACUAGCUCUGUCGCCAUUUGAAGCAGAUUAUACAAUAACAAGUUUAGCAACACGACUAGCUUUAAGGCUCCUGAAACUACUUGAAGAUUUUAGUUACGAGCAUAAGGAGUCUACUGAGAUUUUCUUUGAUGGAAAAUCAACAAUUGAUAUUGUUAAGAAUCCCACUUUUAAUAGGAGAACUUGGCACAUUCAUGUGCAAUAUCAGUUUAUCCGAACUUUGGUAGCUGAUGGAAGAAUAGUGCUGAAAUUCUGCAGAACAAACGAGCAAGUAGCGAAUAUAUUUUCGAAGUCUCUUCCUCAGGCUAAGCAUGAAUAUAUCAGGUUGCUGUUGAGAGUGUGUGAUUUUGAAUCAAGGGGAAGUAUUAGUUGACUCAUUUCAAAAGUUAAAUGAUAUUAGUGGCAGUACUUUUAGGAGUCUUUAAUAUUCCCAGUUUACAAGCUCCAGAAGUCCUAAUUAGUUUAUGUUAGUUAGCUAGUAGGUCAUGCGUUAGUGCUAAACUAGUACCCUAUCAUUUCUCUAGGUUUGUUGCUUUCCAAUUACUAUUCAAAACUUGUAUCCCUGUUUUCUAAAGCAUAAGAAAAGAUAAGGUUUUCUCUUUGUUUCUUAACAUCUUCUUCGAGUUGUUGUUCAUCUCUUUCGCCAAUAAGAAAGAGACAGAUGAUCAUAAAAUAACACAGACAUUUCAUUUGCCCACA
Solanum pennellii is the source of this 2838-nucleotide long non-coding RNA. RefSeq lists it as uncharacterized. The record is from RefSeq and is a predicted model, not a curated record. The transcript has 4 exons. NCBI's taxonomy places the organism in Eukaryota, Viridiplantae, Streptophyta, Magnoliopsida, Solanales, Solanaceae.